Molecule: ribosomal RNA, 465 nt
Filed under: Vreelandella stevensii
Lineage: Bacteria; Pseudomonadati; Pseudomonadota; Gammaproteobacteria; Oceanospirillales; Halomonadaceae
Description: partial 16S ribosomal RNA
Rfam family: Bacterial small subunit ribosomal RNA
Source: RNAcentral
CCUACGGGUGGCUGCAGUGGGGAAUAUUGGACAAUGGGGGCAACCCCGAUCCAGCCAUGCCGCGUGUGUGAAGAAGGCCCUCGGGUUGUAAAGCACUUUCAGUGAGGAAGAACGCCUGGUGGUUAAUACCCAUCAGGAAAGACAUCACUCACAGAAGAAGCACCGGCUAACUCCGUGCCAGCAGCCGCGGUAAUACGGAGGGUGCGAGCGUUAAUCGGAAUUACUGGGCGUAAAGCGCGCGUAGGUGGCUUGAUAAGCCGGUUGUGAAAGCCCCGGGCUCAACCUGGGAACGGCAUCCGGAACUGUCAAGCUAGAGUGCAGGAGAGGAAGGUAGAAUUCCCGGUGUAGCGGUGAAAUGCGUAGAGAUCGGGAGGAAUACCAGUGGCGAAGGCGGCCUUCUGGACUGACACUGACACUGAGGUGCGAAAGCGUGGGUAGCAAACAGGAUUAGAUACCCGGGUAGUC